UACGGGGGGGGCAAGCGUUGUUCGGAAUUACUGGGCGUAAAGGGCUCGUAGGUGGCCAACUAAGUCAGACGUGAAAUCCCUCGGCUUAACCGGGGAACUGCGUCUGAUACUGGAUGGCUUGAGUUUGGGAGAGGGACGCGGAAUUCCAGGUGUAGCGGUGAAAUGCGUAGAUAUCUGGAGGAACACCGGUGGCGAAGGCGGCUUCUUGGGCCGUACCUGACGCUGAGGCGCGAAAGCCAGGGGAGCGAACGGG
Molecule: ribosomal RNA, 253 nt
Filed under: uncultured bacterium
Lineage: Bacteria
Description: partial 16S ribosomal RNA
Rfam family: Bacterial small subunit ribosomal RNA
Source: RNAcentral